RNAcentral lists this ribosomal RNA (318 nucleotides) under Rhipicephalus sanguineus (brown dog tick). RNAcentral's name for it is "partial 12S ribosomal RNA". The record is from RNAcentral. Lineage: Eukaryota; Metazoa; Arthropoda; Arachnida; Ixodida; Ixodidae.
CCUAUUAUUUAAGAGCUUAACAUUGUAAGUAAAUAAUAAUUAUGAAAGCAAAAAAUUAUGGCGGUAUUUUAAGCUUUUCAGAGGAAUUUGCUCUUUAAUGGAUAAAACACCAAAAUCUUACUUAGAUUUGUGAUUUCAAUUUGUAUACCACUAUUAAAACAAUUUAUAACUUUAAUUGUUUAAAUUUACAAAAUUAAAAUAUAUUAAGUCAAGGUGCAGUAAAAAUUUAAGGAUGAAGUGAAUUACAUUACUUUUUAGUGAGAUAAAUUUAUAACAAUAUUUAGGAUUUGAAAGUAAAAUUAAAAUAGGAUGUUAAUU